This 257-nucleotide long non-coding RNA is filed under the name Elaeis guineensis (African oil palm). RNAcentral's name for it is "long non-coding RNA (EGUI_LNC023356)". The record is from RNAcentral. Lineage: Eukaryota; Viridiplantae; Streptophyta; Magnoliopsida; Arecales; Arecaceae.
AGUGGUAUGGUAGGAAUUUGUCUAUGAAGAUCUGUCGGACAUAUGUUGCUACUAUGGAAGCAUUAGAACUACUAUGAAUACAUGUUCUCAAUGCAAGGAUAUCCCUUAAGUUCAAGAUUCCAUGAUCUAUGGCCCAUGGAUUAGAGCAUCUCGGGUAACUAUUGAUUCCUUUAGGCAGCCUAUAGAUAUGCGAUCCUUUGUGUCUUCUUCGAUGGCUACUUCAGGUAACAUUUAGACUACUCCUAAGAAGGUUGCCU